RNAcentral lists this ribosomal RNA (476 nucleotides) under Klebsiella pneumoniae. RNAcentral's name for it is "bacterial LSU rRNA". It matches the Rfam family "Bacterial large subunit ribosomal RNA", at positions 1220 to 1698 of the family's 2925-position model. Lineage: Bacteria; Pseudomonadati; Pseudomonadota; Gammaproteobacteria; Enterobacterales; Enterobacteriaceae. The record is from RNAcentral.
GUUGUUGGGUAGGGGAGCGUUCUGUAAGCCUGCGAAGGUGUGCUGUGAGGCAUGCUGGAGGUAUCAGAAGUGCGAAUGCUGACAUAAGUAACGAUAAAGCGGGUGAAAAGCCCGCUCGCCGGAAGACCAAGGGUUCCUGUCCAACGUUAAUCGGGGCAGGGUGAGUCGACCCCUAAGGCGAGGCCGAAAGGCGUAGUCGAUGGGAAACAGGUUAAUAUUCCUGUACUUGGUGUUACUGCGAAGGGGGGACGGAGAAGGCUAUGUUAGCCGGGCGACGGUUGUCCCGGUUUAAGCAUGUAGGCUGAUUGUCCAGGCAAAUCCGGAUAAUCAAGGCUGAGGUGUGAUGACGAGGCACUACGGUGCUGAAGUAACAAAUGCCUGCUUCCAGGAAAAGCCUCUAAGCAUCAGGUAACAUCAAAUCGUACCCCAAACCGACACAGGUGGUCAGGUAGAGAAUACCAAGGCGCUUGAGAGAA